This 253-nucleotide ribosomal RNA is filed under the name uncultured bacterium. RNAcentral describes it as "partial 16S ribosomal RNA". It matches the Rfam family "Bacterial small subunit ribosomal RNA", at positions 524 to 776 of the family's 1533-position model. The record is from RNAcentral.
UACGUAGGGUGCGAGCGUUAAUCAGAAUUACUGGGCGUAAAGGGUGCGCAGGCGGCGUCGCAAGUCAGGCGUGAAAUCCCCGGGCUCAACCCGGGAACUGCGUCCGAUACUGGAAGGCUUGAAUCCGGGAGAGGGAUGCGGAAUUCCAGGUGUAGCGGUGAAAUGCGUAGAUAUCUGGAGGAAUACCGGUGGCGAAGGCGGCAUCCUGGACCGGCAUUGACGCUGAUGAGCGAAAGCUAGGGGAGCAAACGGG